CGCGCGGAGCUCGCGGUGACACCCGCUCCUCGUCCGCAGCCGGCGGCCGUUUCCUCUCUCGUCUCCCGAAGUUUGGGAGGUGAGAGGCUGGACGAGCGAGCGGGGUGGGAGCUGGAAUUCUCCGAUCCCCUCCUGCCCCUGGCGAAUCUCUCGGGUUUGGGGGGCCCGGGGCCGGUGCGGCCACGCAUGAGAACAGAUCGAAUCACUGUGGAUUGA
RNAcentral lists this long non-coding RNA (216 nucleotides) under Cavia porcellus (domestic guinea pig). RNAcentral describes it as "lncRNA (ENSCPOG00000031286.1)". The record is from RNAcentral. Lineage: Eukaryota; Metazoa; Chordata; Mammalia; Rodentia; Caviidae.